This 548-nucleotide ribosomal RNA is filed under the name uncultured Bacteroidota bacterium. Its description in RNAcentral is "SSU rRNA". It matches the Rfam family "Bacterial small subunit ribosomal RNA", at positions 242 to 787 of the family's 1533-position model. The record is from RNAcentral. Lineage: Bacteria; Pseudomonadati; Bacteroidota.
CAGGUAGUUGGCGGGGUAACGGCCCACCAAGCCUACGAUCAGUAACUGGUGUGAGAGCACGACCAGUCACACGGGCACUGAGACACGGGCCCGACUCCUACGGGAGGCAGCAGUAAGGAAUAUUGGUCAAUGGACGCAAGUCUGAACCAGCCAUGCCGCGUGGAGGAUGAAGGCCCUCUGGGUUGUAAACUUCUUUUAUUUGGGAAGAAACCCAUCUUUUCUAAGGUGGUUGACGGUACCAGAUGAAUAAGCACCGGCUAACUCCGUGCCAGCAGCCGCGGUAAUACGGAGGGUGCAAGCGUUAUCCGGAUUCACUGGGUUUAAAGGGUGCGUAGGUGGGCAGGUAAGUCAGUGGUGAAAUCUCCGGGCUUAACCCGGAAACUGCCGUUGAUACUAUCUGUCUUGAAUAUCGUGGAGGUGGGCGGAAUAUGUCAUGUAGCGGUGAAAUGCUUAGAUAUGACAUAGAACACCAAUUGCGAAGGCAGCUCGCUACACGGUUAUUGACACUGAGGCACGAAAGCGUGGGGAUCAAACAGGAUUAGAUACCC